ACUCUCAGAUCUUAGAAUUGGGGGGUUCUCUUUUGGGAUCUGGGCCUCUCUGUCUGAUGACUGCGUUCUGGUGCUCGAUUUCUGGCCACCCUGCCUGAAGAAUGGGAGGAAUUCCUGAGCUCUGGCCCCUGGUUUUGGGCAGCGAGGACUCAUCGCCCCCCCCCCCCCCAACAUUCUCAGCCAGGAGUUCUGGGCACCGCAGCUGGUGGCUACCGAGAGUUACCCCCAUCCCAGUAAGUCAGCAGGCUGGACAUGUCUUCCAGCCUUCAACCCUCGCUCCCCAGCCAGUCAUCUCUCCGUUACAGAGAAGGAUGAAGCAUUGCAUCCAGACAAGAAACGCGUAAGAUCCACUAAUGACAGCGCAGAGUUCAGCACCCCAGGCUUGUUCAUUUAUGCUUUAAAAAAUCCAAAAACAACUGUUGGUACCUACUGUGUACCAGAAGGAGCCGUGGCAGCAGAGUGGGUAUGCUUUGGGUUGCUAACUACAAUAUCAGCCGCUCGAACCCACCAGCCGCUCCAAGGGAGGAAGACAGAGCAAUUCAUGACUUGGCGUCUUGUACGUGACUUCUGCGUGGAAAGCCCUGAUUCCGGGGGGGAGGACAGAAGGAAAGGACCUCAUGCCUGGUAUGUGAAAGUUGAACAUUGAAUAAGGAAGACAGAAGAAGAC
Long non-coding RNA from Echinops telfairi (small Madagascar hedgehog), 667 nucleotides. RefSeq lists it as uncharacterized. The record is from RefSeq and is a predicted model, not a curated record. Lineage: Eukaryota; Metazoa; Chordata; Mammalia; Afrosoricida; Tenrecidae. The transcript is spliced from 4 exons.